RNAcentral lists this long non-coding RNA (1076 nucleotides) under Gossypium raimondii (Peruvian cotton). Its description in RNAcentral is "long non-coding RNA (GRAI_LNC001869)". The record is from RNAcentral. Lineage: Eukaryota; Viridiplantae; Streptophyta; Magnoliopsida; Malvales; Malvaceae.
UCGGAUCAUCGGGCAUAGGCCUAUACGGUGUCGUUUUGAAGCCACUGACAUAGGCUUAAAACGGCACCGUUUCUUGAACUAUAUAAAACGGUAAAUAAACCCUAAAAUUUGAAGCAAAUAUCCUUCCACCAUUUUAGUCUCAGCCGCAAGUGUGAAACGCUUCCCCUCUCCACCGUUUCUAGCUUUACCGAUUUGCUCUCAGAACCUCUGCCCAUACUUCGAUCACGGCGAAGGGAGCAGAGAUCUGACGGCCUAAAACUGGAAGGUAAGUCUCUCCCCUGCUUCUUUUUAUUUUAUAUGCUUAUGUAUGUGUUUAUAACAAAACAAAGAACAAAAGAAAGAAGAACGAUAAAAAUAAAAAACAGAAUCGCAAAGAGAGAAAGAAACCUUUGUUGUAUUGAUUUUUUUUUAGUUUGUUUUUUUUUUACAAUCUAUGCCUCUUACAUUGUUUUUGGCUUCCUAUAUAGCCGAGUUACAGAAAAAAGGAAAAAGAAAUCCUAAAAGAAAAAUCAACGAACCAAUCCCAAAAAUCCCCUCUGUUCCCUUUUCUGUCCAUUUUUUGGUCGCUCCCUUCGUGUGUAUUUCUGCUGUUGCUGGUUGUGUGCAGGUGUACGGGCGUACGAGGGCCAGCUGGGACGUGGCGUGGCUCGUGUGAGGCAUCGCGCGUGGUGGGCACGCGACGGGGAGGCAUGCGGCGCCAAGAGGGUUAAGGAACCCUAGGUUUUUUCAGAUUUGUUUGAUUUUUUGGGCUUGAUUUGGGUUAAGGGUUUUGGGCCUUAUUGGGUUUGUUUAAUUUUGGGCUUGGUUUGUUAAGCAUUGGGUCCGGGCAAAAGUUGGGCCCUACACUCUUUUUUACACAAUUCCUAAAACUACCUAUAACUCCUCUUUAACUUAUAUAUAAAAGGAUAAUGCGCUUCAAUAUACUCAAACUCACGUUCUCCUGUAUUAACAAUAAUACUCAUGUCAAUCAAAUUACUCAAUUGACAAUUUAUUUGUUUCUUAAAUAUACAUAAUUAAAUAUACGUAGCAUGUUAUAAAUAUUACAUCAUGUCAAUAUAUGUCAUUCUCAUUCAAAU